GACAAGUGUGACAAUGUCGCUCACCCUCCGGCUCAAGCAGUUCCAGGUGGCCAAGUGCAAGGGGGAGAAACUUGCCAAAGUCGUCUUUAGAGGAGUGUCACACACAUCGAAAGGACUUGAGGAUAAAGUCGAACUCAUCCCUGUAGAUCAGAGGUUCGAGUGGCCCGUGGCACGAGCUAUAGAGAGUCAUGAGCAGCUGCAG
This is a long non-coding RNA of Macrosteles quadrilineatus (aster leafhopper), 202 nucleotides long. RefSeq lists it as uncharacterized. NCBI's taxonomy places the organism in Eukaryota, Metazoa, Arthropoda, Insecta, Hemiptera, Cicadellidae. The transcript is spliced from 3 exons. The record is from RefSeq and is a predicted model, not a curated record.